GCGGAGUUAGGUCGCACCACCAGACUACGAAUCUGGGGGUCGGGAGUUCGAAUCUCUCCGGGCGCGCCA
Molecule: transfer RNA, 69 nt
Filed under: Pseudomonadota bacterium
Lineage: Bacteria; Pseudomonadati; Pseudomonadota
Description: tRNA-Ser
Source: RNAcentral